UGCCUCACUCUAGCCCGACCAUCAUCAAACUAAUGCAGUGUGAACAAUCAUACUCACCGUCUUAAACCAAACCAUUCUCCCCAAACUCAGUAUAGGCGAUAGAGAAGACCCCCGGCUGGCGCUAUAGAGACCCCGUACCGUAAGGGAAAGAUGAAAUAACAAUGAAAACUACAAGCAACAAACAGCAAAGAUGAGCCCUUGUACCUUUUGCAUCAUGAUUUAGCAAGAACAACCAAGCAAAGUGAACUUAAGUUUGCCCCCCCGAAACCCAAGCGAGCUACUUACAAGCAGCUACCUGUGAGCGAACCCGUCUCUGUAGCAAAAGAGUGGGAUGACUUGUCAGUAGAGGUGAAAAGCCAACCGAGCUGGGUGAUAGCUGGUUGCCCGUGAAACGAAUCUAAGUUCCCUCUCGACUGCUUCCCCAUGGACACGCACCUAACCGCCUGCAUAGACAGCCAAGAGCUAUUCAAAGGGGGUAUAGCCCCUUUGAAGAAGAAUACAACCUGCCACAGCGGAUAACACCCCUACCCCCAACAAUUGUGGGCCUUCAAGCAGCCACCAACAAAGAGUGUGUCAAAGCUCUGUCUAAAAGGAUCCAAAAACAACAUGACUCCCUCCCCACUAACAGGCUAACCUAUACCCAUAGAAGAAUCUAUGCUAAAAUGAGUAACUGGGGUUUCCCCUCUUAGGCGCAAACUUACAUUAUCACAUUAUUAACAGACCCAGAUAGCCAGACCAAGACAAGAACAACUAUCGAACCCACCCUGUUAAUCCAACUCAGGAGCGCCCCCUAGAAAGAUUAACAUCUGUAAAAGGAACUAGGCAAGCCACAGGCCCGACUGUUUACCAAAAACAUAGCCUUUAGCAGAUCAAGUAUUGAAGGUGACGCCUGCCCAGUGACACACGUUUAACGGCCGCGGUAUUCUAACCGUGCAAAGGUAGCGCAAUCAAUUGUCUCAUAAAUCGGGACUUGUAUGAAUGGCUAAACGAGGUCUCAACUGUCUCUUACAGAUGAUCAGUGAAAUUGAUCUUCCCAUGCAAAAGCGAGAAUGUCCCCAUAAGACGAGAAGACCCUGUGGAACUUAAAAAUCACAGCCACUAUCAAACAUAUACCCUCCACACAGGCUCACCCCUAAUGGGAACUACUGGCCUGUAUUUUUCGGUUGGGGCGACCUUGGAGAAAAACAAAUCCUCCAUAAAUAAGACCACACAUCUUAACCAAGAGCUACCCCUCAACGUACAAAAAGUAACCUGACCCAAUAUAUUUGAUCAAUGAACCAAGCUACCCCAGGGAUAACAGCGCAAUCUCCCUCGAGAGCCCGUAUCGACAGGGAGGUUUACGACCUCGAUGUUGGAUCAGGACAUCCUAAUGGUGCAGCCGCUAUUAAGGGUUCGUUUGUUCAACGAUUAACAGUCCUACGUGAUCUGAGUUCAGACCGGAGCAAUCCAGGUCGGUUUCUAUCUAUGAUAGCACCCUUCCUAGUACGAAAGGACCGGAAGGGUGGGGCCCAUACUACAGGCAAGCCCUCCCCCUAAGUAAUGAAUCCAACUAAAUUACCAAGGGAUCCACCAAAUAUCGUCCAAGAAAAGGACA
This 1594-nucleotide ribosomal RNA is filed under the name Coracias caudatus (lilac-breasted roller). Its description in RNAcentral is "16S ribosomal RNA". It matches the Rfam family "Bacterial large subunit ribosomal RNA", at positions 435 to 2852 of the family's 2925-position model. Lineage: Eukaryota; Metazoa; Chordata; Aves; Coraciiformes; Coraciidae. The record is from RNAcentral.